AUGACCGAAGGUGAACAUGAACGUAAGCUCAUAAAUUUUUAUGGAACCACGAAAGAGAUCAUUCAGUUAGACUACAACUUGGACGGCAGAUCAGUUGUUUUGUUUAAAUGUGACUGGUUUAAACUUGAUGGAAAGAAGACUGAGCUUAAAAAUGAUGGUUUUUCCAGAAGCAUAAAUGUUGGAAGUAUGUGGUACAAGGACGAUUCUUUGAUUCUGGCUACGCAGGCUAGAAACGUCUUUUAUUUGCCAGACACGAAGUAUGGGACGAAUUGGCAAGUUGUGUAAACAUUUGAAUAUAGGCAUCUCUUCAAUAUUAAUGAACUAAGGGUGUACCUUUUAGUGGUCCUGCAUAUCAAGAGGACGAGUGCUGUGAUAAGGAGGGUAGGAGAACGUAUGUUUCUAACCUUACAUCCGAGAAGCCUUUGCAUAGAGAUGAUGAGCAAUACAUUGUUUUUGAAGCUGAUGUAG
RNAcentral lists this ribosomal RNA (468 nucleotides) under Triticum aestivum (bread wheat). Its description in RNAcentral is "partial small subunit ribosomal RNA". Lineage: Eukaryota; Viridiplantae; Streptophyta; Magnoliopsida; Poales; Poaceae. The record is from RNAcentral.